CAGCGAGGUAUGUGGUUUAAUUCGACGCUUACGCGAAGAACCUUACCUGGGCUUGACAUGCUUGAGAAAGAGCCAAGAACUGGCUCCCCAUGACCGCAAGGUCAUGGCUCAUCCACAGGUGCUGCAUGGUUGUCGUCAGCUCGUGUCGUGAGAUGUAAGGUUAAGUCCUUGAACGAGCGCAACCCCCUGUCGCUAGUUGCUAACCCGCAAGGGUGCACCCUAGCGAUACUGCCAGCUAAAAGUUGGAGGAAGGAGGGGAUGACGUCAAAUCCUCAUGGCCUUUAUGUCCAGGGCUACACACAUGCGACAAUGGUCGGUACAACGGGUCGCAACACCGCGAGGUGAAGCCAAUCCCUAAAAACCGACCUCAGUUCAGAUUGCAGGCUGCAAUUCGCCUGCAUGAAGAUGGAGUUGCUAGUAACCGCGGGUCAGCUACACCGCGGUGAAUAUGUUCCCGGGCCUU
Molecule: ribosomal RNA, 463 nt
Filed under: uncultured Caldisericum sp.
Lineage: Bacteria; Pseudomonadati; Caldisericota; Caldisericia; Caldisericales; Caldisericaceae
Description: bacterial SSU rRNA
Rfam family: Bacterial small subunit ribosomal RNA
Source: RNAcentral